Molecule: small nucleolar RNA, 138 nt
Organism: Tachyglossus aculeatus (Australian echidna)
Lineage: Eukaryota; Metazoa; Chordata; Mammalia; Monotremata; Tachyglossidae
Source: RefSeq, a predicted model, not a curated record
CACCUCUCAAGGUCACACCUGGAGAGUUUCUGGUACUCUACCAGUCUCAACUACGGGAGGGAGAGUGAAGCAGAUGCCUACCCAUUCCAUUCCUAGCUUGGCCAGUGGCUAGCAAGCGGAAGGCAAUGUGCUACAAGU